CUAAGAUAGUUUAAGAAAAAAAUAUUGAUUUGUGGAGUCAAAGAUUAAUUAUUAUUUUAGUUU
RNAcentral lists this transfer RNA (63 nucleotides) under Psylla alni. Its description in RNAcentral is "tRNA-His". The record is from RNAcentral. Lineage: Eukaryota; Metazoa; Arthropoda; Insecta; Hemiptera; Psyllidae.